RNAcentral lists this ribosomal RNA (465 nucleotides) under uncultured bacterium. RNAcentral's name for it is "partial 16S ribosomal RNA". It matches the Rfam family "Bacterial small subunit ribosomal RNA", at positions 338 to 795 of the family's 1533-position model. The record is from RNAcentral.
CCUACGGGUGGCUGCAGUGGGGAAUAUUGCGCAAUGGGCGAAAGCCUGACGCAGCGACGCCGCGUGAGGGAUGAAGGUCUUCGGAUCGUAAACCUCUGUCAGCAGGGAAGAACGGUCCCUGUGCUAAUCAGCAGUGAAUUGACGGUACCUGCAAAGGACGCACCGGCUAACUCCGUGCCAGCAGCCGCGGUAAUACGGAGGGUGCGAGCGUUAAUCGGAAUUACUGGGCGUAAAGCGCUCGUAGGCGGUAUGUCAAGUCAAGGGUGAAAUCCCCGCGCUCAACGUGGGAACUGCCUUUGAAACUGGCAAACUGGAGUGGGUGAGAGGAUAGUGGAAUUCCAGGUGUAGGAGUGAAAUCCGUAGAUAUUAGAAGGAACCCCGAUAGCGUAGGCAGGUUACUGGGACGGUUCUGACACUAAGGCACGAAAGCGUAGGGAGCAAACGGGAUUAGAUACCCGUGUAGUC